UACGUAGGGGGCUAGCGUUGUCCGGAUUUAUUGGGCGUAAAGAGCGUGUAGGCGGCCAGGUAGGUCCGUUGUGAAAACUCGAGGCUCAACCUCGAGACGUCGGCGGAAACCAUCUGGCUAGAGUCCGGAAGAGGAGAGUGGAAUUCCUGGUGUAGCGGUGAAAUGCGCAGAUAUCAGGAAGAACACCCGUGGCGAAGGCGGCUCUCUGGGACGGUACUGACGCUGAGGCGCGAAAGCGUGGGGAGCAAACAGG
Molecule: ribosomal RNA, 253 nt
Filed under: uncultured bacterium
Lineage: Bacteria
Description: partial 16S ribosomal RNA
Rfam family: Bacterial small subunit ribosomal RNA
Source: RNAcentral